UUGGGGCUGGGGCUCAGUGGCAGAGUGUUCACCUAGCAUGUGUGAGACCCUCGGUUCAAUCCCAGCAUCCAAA
Molecule: transfer RNA, 73 nt
Filed under: Marmota monax (woodchuck)
Lineage: Eukaryota; Metazoa; Chordata; Mammalia; Rodentia; Sciuridae
Description: tRNA.Ala
Source: RNAcentral